UCAGUCGCAUGCUCUGGACCCGAAGCGGAGUGAUCUACCCAUGGCCAGGGUGAAGCGACGGUAAGACGUCGUGGAGGCCCGAACCCACUUAGGUUGAAAACUGAGGGGAUGAGUUGUGGGUAGGGGUGAAAGGCCAAUCAAACUCCGUGAUAGCUGGUUCUCCCCGAAAUGCAUUUAGGUGCAGCGUCGCGUGUUUCAUCCUGGAGGUAGAGCUACUGGAUGGUCUAGGGGGCCCACAAGCUUACCGAAAUCAGCCAAACUCCGAAUGCCAGGAUGUGAGAGCGCGGCAGUGAGACUGCGGGCGAUAAGGUUCGUAGUCGAGAGGGAAACAGCCCAGAUCGCCGGCUAAGGCCCCUAAGCGUGUACUAAGUGGAAAAGGAUGUGAAGUCGCGAAGACAACCAGGAGGUUGGCUUAGAAGCAGCCACCCUUGAAAGAGUGCGUAAUAGCUCACUGGUCAAGUGAUUUUGCGCCGACAAUGUAGCGGGGCUCAAGUACACCGCCGAAGCCGCGGCACUCACAUGUAUCCCGUCCAUCGUCUGCGGAUGGUGGGCCAGGUGUGUGGGUGGGUAGGGGAGCGUCGUGUGGCCGGGGAAGCGCCGGAGUGAUCCAGGUGUGGAGGCCACGCGAGUGAGAAUGCAGGCAUGAGUAGCGAAAGACGAGUGAGAAACUCGUCCGCCGAAUGACCAAGGGUUCCUGGGCCAGGUUAAUCCGCCCAGGGUGAGUCGGGACCUAAGGCGAGGCCGACAGGCGUAGUCGAUGGACAACGGGUUGAUAUUCCCGUACCCGUGUAUCCGCGCCCAUGACGAAUCAGGAGUACUAACCGUCCAGAUCUUCCGUGAGCACCUUCGGGUGCCUGGUGGAGUGAUGCACGGGACCUUUCCUGGUAGUAGUCAAGCGAUGGGGUGACGCAGGAAGGUAGCUGGGCCAGUCAGUGGUUGUACUGGUGUAAGCCUGUAGGGCGAACGGUAGGCAAAUCCGCCGUUCACAUGAGCCUGAGAGGUGAUGCGUAGCCGAAUGAGGCGAAUUCAGUGAUCCUAUGCUGCCGAGAAAAGCCUCUAGUGAGUUGGUACACGGCCCGUACCCCAAACCGACACAGGUGGUCAGGUAGAGAAUACCAAGGCGAUCGAGAGAACUAUGGUUAAGGAACUCGGCAAAAUGCCCCCGUAACUUCGGGAGAAGGGGGACCCCUGCUGGUGAUCACUCUUGCAGUGUGAGCUGGUGUGGGUCGCAGAGACCAGUGAGAAGCGACUGUUUACUAAAAACACAGGUCCGUGCGAAGUCGUAAGACGAUGUAUACGGACUGACGCCUGCCCGGUGCUGGAAGGUUAAGAGGACCGGUCAGCCACCCUCGUGGUGGCGAAGCUGAGAAUUUAAGCCCCAGUAAACGGCGGUGGUAACUAUAACCAUCCUAAGGUAGCGAAAUUCCUUGUCGGGUAAGUUCCGACCUGCACGAAUGGCGUAACGACUUCUCAGCUGUCUCAACCAUAGACUCGGCGAAAUUGCAUUACGAGUAAAGAUGCUCGUUACGCGCGGCAGGACGAAAAGACCCCGGGACCUUCACUACAGCUUGGUAUUGGUGUUCGGUUCGGUUUGUGUAGGAUAGGUGGGAGACUGUGAAGCAUGCACGCCAGUGUGUGUGGAGUCGUUGUUGAAAUACCACUCUGAUCGUAUUGGAUACCUCAACCUCGGACCAUGAUCUGGUUCAGGGACAGUGCCUGGUGGGUAGUUUAACUGGGGCGGUUGCCUCCCAAAAUGUAACGGAGGCGCCCAAAGGUUCCCUCAGCCUGGUUGGCAAUCAGGUGUCGAGUGCAAGUGCACAAGGGAGCUUGACUGUGAGACUGACAGGUCGAGCAGGGACGAAAGUCGGGACUAGUGAUCCGGCACCGGCAAGUGGAAGCGGUGUCGCUCAACGGAUAAAAGGUACCCCGGGGAUAACAGGCUGAUCUUCCCCAAGAGUCCAUAUCGACGGGAUGGUUUGGCACCUCGAUGUCGGCUCGUCGCAUCCUGGGGCUGGAGUAGGUCCCAAGGGUUGGGCUGUUCGCCCAUUAAAGCGGCACGCGAGCUGGGUUUAGAACGUCGUGAGACAGUUCGGUCUCUAUCCGCCGCGCGCGUGAAGAAACUUGAGGAAGGCUGUCCCUAGUACGAGAGGACCGGGACGGACGAACCUCUGGUGUGCCAGUUGUUCCACCAGGAGCACUGCUGGUUGGCUACGUUCGGAAGGGAUAACCGCUGAAAGCAUCUAAGCGGGAAGCCUGUUCCAAGAUGAGGUUUCUCACCCCCCAGAGGGGGUAAGGCCCCCGGCAGACCACCGGGUUGAUAGGCCAGAACUGGAAGCCCAGCAAUGGGUGCAGGUGACUGGUACUAAUAGGCCGAGGACUUACCAC
This 2385-nucleotide ribosomal RNA is filed under the name Rhodococcoides kroppenstedtii. Its description in RNAcentral is "partial 23S ribosomal RNA". It matches the Rfam family "Bacterial large subunit ribosomal RNA", at positions 696 to 2925 of the family's 2925-position model. Lineage: Bacteria; Bacillati; Actinomycetota; Actinomycetes; Mycobacteriales; Nocardiaceae. The record is from RNAcentral.